Molecule: ribosomal RNA, 440 nt
Filed under: uncultured Clostridium sp.
Lineage: Bacteria; Bacillati; Bacillota; Clostridia; Eubacteriales; Clostridiaceae
Description: bacterial SSU rRNA
Rfam family: Bacterial small subunit ribosomal RNA
Source: RNAcentral
CCUACGGGGGGCAGCAGUGGGGAAUAUUGCGCAAUGGAGGAAACUCUGACGCAGCAACGCCGCGUGAAGGAUGAAGGCUUUCGGGUUGUAAACUUCUUUGAUCGGGGACGAAAAUGACGGUACCCGAGGAACAAGCCACGGCUAACUACGUGCCAGCAGCCGCGGUAAUACGUAGGUGGCAAGCGUUGUCCGGAAUUACUGGGCGUAAAGGGCGUGUAGGCGGGGAAACAAGUCAGAUGUGAAAUCCCAUGGCUUAACUGUGGAGCUGCAUCUGAAACUGUUUCUCUUGAGUACUGGAGAGGAAAGUGGAAUUCCCAGUGUAGCGGUGAAAUGCGUAGAGAUUGGGAGGAACACCAGUGGCGAAGGCGGCUUUCUGGACAGUAACUGACGCUGAGGCGCGAAAGCGUGGGGAGCAAACAGGAUUAGAUACCCUGGUAGUC